UUUUUAUUGUCCAUUAUUGAGCAUGAGGAACUUGGUGCUCCAGCUUUGGGUGGGUCUCUACCCACCCACUUCAGAGCACGUCUGAAGUGACUUUACUGAGCUGAGCGUUACCACCAUAGUGAGUGCUAUUGGUAACCUGCCCAGAUCACCUUACUGGCUGGUGCAUCAGCCCCUCCCCUUAGUUUCUGCGAGUGUGCAAAUCAGUGGGAGACCAGGUAUCCCCUUUGAUCUUCUUCAUCUAAAGUGUCUUCCUACUUAUGUGAUUCUGUGUACUAUGGAGCUCUUAGGAAAUAGAAAUGGAAGUUGAAGUUAUUAGAAGUGAAAGGAUCAGCCUACAAAAAUAGCUUCCAACAGAUAAAAUCCAGCAUCUGCUCCAUUUCUCUCCAGUUAGGAAUGCGCAGCCAAACUAGGGUAAUAUCAGCAGGACACCAGUUAUAUUUCUCUGGAUAAAUGGUUAAUUUUCUUCUUUCUUUUUUUUCUUUUCUUUUCAGACGGAGUCUUGCUCUGUCACCCAAGCUGGAGUACAGUGGUACAAUCUCGGCUCACUGCAACCUCCGCCUCCUGGGUUCAAGCGAUUCUCCUGCCUCAGCCUCCCAAGUAGCUGGGAUUACAGAAGCGCACCACCACACCUGGUUAAUUUUUGUAUUUUUAGUAGAGACGAGGUUUCACCAUGUUGGCCAGGCUGGUCUCAAACUUCUGACCUCAAGUGAUCCACCCACCUCGGCCUCCCAAAGUGCUGGGAUUACAGGCAUGAGCCACCACGCCUGGCCAGAGUUGUCUUGAUAGAGAUCACUUGCUCUGGGGGAAACCAGCAGCCAUGUUGUGAGGACACCCAAGCAGCUCUAUGGAGAGGCCUACAUGGAGAGUAACCAAGGUCCCCUAUCAAUAGCCAGCAAGGAACAGAAGCCUCCUGCCAACAGUCACGUGUGAGCCAUGUUGAGAGCAGAUCUUUCAGUCCCAGUCAGACCUUCCAAUAAUUGUAGCCCUAGCUGAGAAUUUGACUGAAAUAUCCGGAACCACAUCUGCCUAGUUAAGCCACUCCCAAAUUUAUAACCCACAGAACAGAAACUACAUACAAUAAUACAUAAUUGUUUAUUGUUUUAGGCUGUUAUGUUUUGGGAAUAAUUUGUUAUGCAGCAUUAGAUGACAUAUACAUUCCGUCACAUAAAAUUACACUUCAUCAGAUCAGGAUGGUUGGUUUGUGUUUGUGGUGGGUAUUUAUGUGUAUUAGUAACCAGUGGAGGCCUGACAGUAAUCACUAGGGGACCAAUGGCUCAGGCAGGCAGAGUGUUCCCUGCCUCAGGGCCUGGCAUUCUGAUGCAGAAGGCCAGGUGUUGGUGUGGUGGCCAUCUUUGGGCCUUCUGGUCCUGAUUGGUUGGGUUACAGUGCCAGGAUCCCUGUACUGAGGUUUCAGGUAGGUUAGCUUGGGGGAAGGCAUAUGACACACAGGCAGUUUUGGAUUUGGGGCUUGGACCUGGGUUCCAUGGAAAUCAGGCAUUGCAACAUCUUCGUUAGCCUUGCCAGGAGAGAUUGGUGUGAAAUAAUUUAUCCUGUUUCUCCUGGUCACAUGUCCCUAUUAUUCCAUUGCAGUUUGUAUAUAUAUGUGAAGUUUUGGUGCUGGAUUGAGAAGGGAAGGGAUUUGGGAGGGAAGUUAGAAAUUAUUUUAAUUGUACAGCUUAUGAAAUUGCUGUAAAAAUCUUCGUCUCUCUGCCAGGGCUUUGCCUGACUUUCUGAGUCUGGGGGAUUCUCCUGAGAACCCCUGGGGGCCUGGUUGGGUGGUGGCUGUAACAGUUGAUGAGGUUAAGGUGGCUGACUCUCUUUAGAACACUCAGAGACAUGGGUGAGAGGGUCUCUGGGGCCCUCUGAGGCCUCACUGCUUACCUGGGUCUGGGAGCACAGAGUGGAGGAAAGGAAGGAGCUGUGUGCAAGAUAGCUGGGCUGUUGCAGAGUCCUGGACUGUGACUCCCACCCUACCUAGGCUCUGCCCUUGCCAUCAAGGCCUUCUUAAUGGUCUGGCCCCUGGCUUCUUCCCCCUAAGAAAUAUUCUGCAUAGAACCAUGAUAUGACACUAAGUGAACAUAGAAUCCCCAGAGACAACGCUCUGCAUUGUACCUUUUGCAAAACUCUUCAGAGAAACCAUCUUCAAGGUCUUUUGUACAAUAAUCAUGUUAUCAAAUUCCUUUUAGAAUUUGGUGCAUGAAAAAGAUUUUUCUGCCCUGGGUAAGGCAGGUUUCCUUCCAAGAUAAGAGGCACUGGGCAACUCACUCGCUCCUGUGAUUCACUGUUUUCACUCCCUGUUUUGUGCUCCAUGGUGUAAGCUUCCCUUGGGCUGGGUACUGGGGUAUCACCAGUCUUCCCACCAAUCCCCACUCUCCAUGACUGGUCUUUGGUCCAUUUACCUUUAUUUUCAUUCACUUUCAUUUACUUUGAUUCAUUUAUCUAUUUGUAGAGACAAGGGUCUUGCUCUGUUGCUCAGGCUCAUCUGAAACCCCUGGCCUCCCACUUCAGCCUCUUAAAGUGUUGGGAUUACAGGUGUGAGCCACCACUCCUGGCCAGACUUGUUGUUGUUAAGACAGCGUCUCACUCUGUUGCCCAGACUGGAGUGCAGUGACGUGAUCUUAGC
This 2623-nucleotide long non-coding RNA is filed under the name Homo sapiens (human). Its description in RNAcentral is "HSALNT0263521". Lineage: Eukaryota; Metazoa; Chordata; Mammalia; Primates; Hominidae. The record is from RNAcentral.